AAUGGACGUUGGCGGCGUGGAUUAGGCAUGCAAGUCGAGCGAGAAGCUUUCGAAAGAUACUUCGGUUGAUUUCUUAAGUGGACAGCGGCGAAAGGGAGAGUAACGAGUAGAUUACGUACCCAGGGGUUCGGGAUAGCUGAGGGAAACUUCAGGUAAUACCGAAUAGUGUUUCCGAACCAAAGAUUUAUCGCCCUUGGAUCGGUCUGCUUACUAUUAGCUUGUUGGUGGGUAAAGGCCUACCAAGGCAAAGAUGGUUAGCGGGUGUGAGAGCAUGGCCCGUCUCACUGGGACUGAGACACUGCCCAGACACCUACGGGUGGCUGCAGUCGAGAAUCUUCCGCAAUGGACGCAAGUCUGACGGAGCGACGCCGCGUGCGGGACGAAGGCCUUCGGGUUGUAAACCGCUGUCAGAGGGGAGCAAAUUUUGAGCGAUCCUCAGAGGAAGCACAGGCUAAGUUCGUG
Molecule: ribosomal RNA, 462 nt
Filed under: uncultured bacterium
Lineage: Bacteria
Description: bacterial SSU rRNA
Rfam family: Bacterial small subunit ribosomal RNA
Source: RNAcentral